Molecule: ribosomal RNA, 468 nt
Filed under: uncultured bacterium
Lineage: Bacteria
Description: partial 16S ribosomal RNA
Rfam family: Bacterial small subunit ribosomal RNA
Source: RNAcentral
GACGAACGCUGGCGGCGUGCUUAACACAUGCAAGUCGAACGGAAAGGCCCUGCUUUUGUGGGGUGCUCGAGUGGCGAACGGGUGAGUAACACGUGAGUAACCUGCCCUUGACUUUGGGAUAACUUCAGGAAACUGGGGCUAAUACCGGAUAGGAGCUCCUGCUGCAUGGUGGGGGUUGGAAAGUUUCGGCGGUUGGGGAUGGACUCGCGGCUUAUCAGCUUGUUGGUGGGGUAGUGGCUUACCAAGGCUUUGACGGGUAGCCGGCCUGAGAGGGUGACCGGCCACAUUGGGACUGAGAUACGACCCAGACUCCUACGGGAGGCAGCAGUGGGGAAUAUUGCACAAUGGGCGGAAGCAUGAUGCAGCAACGCCGCGUGCGGGAUGACGGCCUUCGGGUUGUAAACCGCUUUCGCCUGUGACGAAGCGUGAGUGACGGUAAUGGGUAAAGAAGCACCGGCUAACUACGUG